GUAGGAUAGGAAUAAAUUAUAUUAGUUGGAAGUUAAAAGGAAAAUAUAAGAGAAUGGUUAAUUUUAUGGGUAAAAUUUGUUAAACUAAUUAUUUCUUAGGUUGGAAAUUUGAAGCUUUGAAAAUUGAGAUUGAAACUAGGAUUAGAUACCCUAUUAUUUUAAUUGUAAAGGGGAGAAGCUGGAGUAGUAGUAGUUAAGGGCUUGAAACUCAAAGAAUUUGGCGGUGCCUUAGGCUUUUCAGAGGAAUCUGUCCUAUAAUCGAUAAUACACGUUAAAUGUUACUUAAUUUGGUAUAACCAAUUUGUAUACCGCCGUCAUAAGAUUAUCUUUUUAGAGAAAGAAUUUUCUAGAUAUUAUAAGAUAUAAUGUCAGGUCAAGGUGCAGUUUAUAAUUAAGAGGGAGAUGGAUUACAAUAAAUUUAUUUAAAUGGAUUCUUUAUUGAAAGAUAAGGUUGAAGGUGGAUUUGAAAGUAAUUUUGUUAGAUUAUGAUAAAAUGAUUUAAGCUCUGAGGCAUGCACACAUCGCCCGUCGCUCUCGUUAUAAGAUGAGAUAAGUCGUAACAUAGUAGUUGUACUGGAAAGUGUGGCUGGAAAGUCAA
RNAcentral lists this ribosomal RNA (598 nucleotides) under Poecilimon affinis rilensis. RNAcentral's name for it is "partial 12S ribosomal RNA". The stretch from base 181 to 589 matches the Rfam family "Microsporidia small subunit ribosomal RNA", at positions 751 to 1303 of the family's 1311-position model. Lineage: Eukaryota; Metazoa; Arthropoda; Insecta; Orthoptera; Tettigoniidae. The record is from RNAcentral.